UACGAAGGGGGCUAGCGUUGUUCGGAGUUACUGGGCGUAAAGGGCGCGUAGGCGGCCAAUUAAGUCAGGUGUGAAAGCCCUGGGCUCAACCCGGGAAUUGCGCUUGAGACUGGUUGGCUUGAGGACGGGAGAGGAUAGUGGAAUUCCCAGUGUAGAGGUGAAAUUCGUAGAUAUUGGGAAGAACACCAGUGGCGAAGGCGGCUAUCUGGACCGUAUCUGACGCUGAGGCGCGAAAGCGUGGGGAGCAAACAGG
This 253-nucleotide ribosomal RNA is filed under the name uncultured bacterium. Its description in RNAcentral is "partial 16S ribosomal RNA". It matches the Rfam family "Bacterial small subunit ribosomal RNA", at positions 524 to 776 of the family's 1533-position model. The record is from RNAcentral.